GGACUGGCGAUUGGGACUAAGUCGUAACAAGGUAGCCGUACCGGAAGGUGCGGCUGGAUCACCUCCUUUCUAAGGAG
Molecule: ribosomal RNA, 77 nt
Filed under: Kocuria rhizophila
Lineage: Bacteria; Bacillati; Actinomycetota; Actinomycetes; Micrococcales; Micrococcaceae
Description: partial 16S ribosomal RNA
Rfam family: Bacterial small subunit ribosomal RNA (bases 1-69)
Source: RNAcentral